This 420-nucleotide long non-coding RNA is filed under the name Prunus persica (peach). Its description in RNAcentral is "long non-coding RNA (PPER_LNC008528)". The record is from RNAcentral. Lineage: Eukaryota; Viridiplantae; Streptophyta; Magnoliopsida; Rosales; Rosaceae.
GGACACUUUUGCCCUUAGAAUAUUCUAGUAAAGGAAAAGUUGACUUUUUGACCGAGAAAGAAUUUGACUACUCCACUUGCAUCGUUGCGUAGGGCGCAACGAAACGAGUCCGUAGACACGGAGUGGACUCGAAUCGGAGUUGUAACGAAGAAAAUACGGUCAAAAUACUUAGAAGGGCAAAACGGUAAUUUUGAAAUCAAAAUUUAAAAAAAAAAAACAAAACUGACUCUCUCUCUCUUCCCUCACUCUUCUUCCUCACGACCACAGCUCCCCCUGUUUUUUUUUCUUUCUAAUCGUCACCUUCAAACCUCCAUAACAGCCGCCACAGUCCACUCCAACCAACGGGACCGGACCCAAUCGAACCACCGCCGCUUCCUCUUCCUUUCCCGACCGAUCCCUGCCCUUGGAACUGCUGUUUUU